This 269-nucleotide ribosomal RNA is filed under the name uncultured bacterium. RNAcentral's name for it is "partial 16S ribosomal RNA". It matches the Rfam family "Bacterial small subunit ribosomal RNA", at positions 524 to 794 of the family's 1533-position model. The record is from RNAcentral.
UACGAAGGGGGCUAGCGUUGUUCGGAAUUACUGGGCGUAAAGCGCACGUAGGCGGAUUGUUAAGUCAGAGGUGAAAUCCCGGAGCUCAACUUCGGAACUGCCUUUGAUACUGGCAAUCUAGAGUUCGGAAGAGGUUAGUGGAAUUCCCAGUGUAGAGGUGAAAUUCGUAGAUAUUGGGAAGAACACCAGUGGCGAAGGCGGCUAACUGGUCCGAUACUGACGCUGAGGUGCGAAAGCGUGGGGAGCAAACAGGAUUAGAACCCGUACGU